This 520-nucleotide ribosomal RNA is filed under the name uncultured Glomus. RNAcentral's name for it is "SSU rRNA". It matches the Rfam family "Eukaryotic small subunit ribosomal RNA", at positions 569 to 1091 of the family's 1831-position model. The record is from RNAcentral. Lineage: Eukaryota; Fungi; Glomeromycota; Glomeromycetes; Glomerales; Glomeraceae.
AGCAGCCGCGGUAAUUCCAGCUCCAAUAGCGUAUAUUAAAGUUGUUGCAGUUAAAAAGCUCGUAGUUGAAUUUCGGGGUCAGUAGGCUGGUCGUGCCACAGGUAUGUACUGGUCUUACUGAUUCCUCCUUCCUGAUGAACCGUAAUGCCAUUAAUUUGGUGUUGCGGGGAAUCUGGACUGUUACUUUGAAAAAAUUAGAGUGUUUAAAGCAGGCUAACGCUUGAAUACAUUAGCAUGGAAUAAUGAAAUAGGACGAUCGAUCCUAUUUUGUUGGUUUCUAGGAUUGACGUAAUGAUUAAUAGGGAUAGUUGGGGGCAUUAGUAUUCAAUUGUCAGAGGUGAAAUUCUUGGAUUUAUUGAAGACUAACUACUGCGAAAGCAUUUGCCAAGGAUGUUUUCAUUAAUCAAGAACGAAAGUUAGGGGAUCGAAGACGGUCAGAUACCGUCGUAGUCUUAACCAUAAACUAUGCCGACUAGGGAUCGGAUGAUGUUAAUUUUUAAUGACUCAUUCGGCGCCUUAC